RNAcentral lists this ribosomal RNA (253 nucleotides) under uncultured bacterium. Its description in RNAcentral is "partial 16S ribosomal RNA". It matches the Rfam family "Bacterial small subunit ribosomal RNA", at positions 524 to 776 of the family's 1533-position model. The record is from RNAcentral.
UACGUAGGGUACAAGCAUUAAUCGGAAUUAUUGGGCGUAAAGGGCGCGUAGGCGGAUAUAUAAGUCAGGUGUGAAAUACCAAAGCUCAACUUUGGUGCUGCAUCUGAAACUGUAUGACUAGAGGAUUGACGGAGAAAGCGGAAUUCCACAUGUAGCGGUGAAAUGCGUAGAUAUGUGGAGGAACACCUGUGGCGAAAGCGGCUUUCUAGUUUUUACCUGACGCUGAAGCGCGAGAGCAAGGGGAGCAAACAGG